Long non-coding RNA from Boleophthalmus pectinirostris (great blue-spotted mudskipper), 1123 nucleotides. RefSeq lists it as uncharacterized. The transcript is spliced from 3 exons. The record is from RefSeq and is a predicted model, not a curated record. Lineage: Eukaryota; Metazoa; Chordata; Actinopteri; Gobiiformes; Gobiidae.
CAGGAAGCCCAGCAUAAAAAGCAACUGAAAAACGCCCAAAGACAUUUCAUUUGUCGCCACUCGACUCACAGAAGCACAGAAAAUUAACAGCAAGGCCUUAGAGAAACGGCAAAAGCCAGGUUUAAAAUAAUUUGACACCAUGUUGGAGUCUUCCUCAAGAUUGCCCCAGCGGCCUGCGCGCUUGGCUGCCCCUGAGCGCGCGCGUACACCUGACGCGCACUUUUUCAACCGGUAGCUGGGGCUGUCCUCUUCACUGAUAUAUUCACAGUGAGGGACUUUGGCCACAGUCCACAAGCUUUCCUUUAAUCCUGCUGUCCUCCUGGCUGCCACUUACAACUUAAAGGGUCCAAGAACGUGGGAAAAGAAAGAGACUAUGAACCAAGUGCUUCUCUUCCACUCCUCCCUCUUCAUCUUUCAUGUGAUGGGCACUCCCCAGCUCCACACUCACCACGGGAGGAGGGUAUGUGGCCAAUCCUCUCUUCACAGCCACAGAAUCGUCAUGGCAACCCAGUCCUAUGCCCAAGCGGUGCACAAACCAUAUAUCACCUUGUGUAGCGGGCAUCGGCUGUGUAGCACAUACAAGUGAGUACUGUCUAGAUAGUACUCUUAAAUAGCAUCAGAAAAGUGAUUAUCAUAGGUAACGAGCCAGUAAUGUCAUGUAAUCGGGCUGUUGUGGGAUGUUUAUUUGAUUAAAGGGUGAAUAAGUAUUAGAAAAGCAGCCUUAAAUAAACAGCUUGUACAGAACUGGGUCUUGGUGGCACAUUUUUUGGGUGAAAUCUACUGUUGAUCUCAAGUAUUUUGUAUAAGUACGGGAAAUGAACAGCCUGCCCACAGAGACCGCUGUUGUGUUUAUUUUGGACUACAUCUCCCUCCACACUUUACAUGUUCUCAGGUCUGAUCACCCCCCAAACAUUCCCAUACUUUUUCAUCUCUUGCCAAACCAUAAAACAUCACAGUGUCAUUGUUUUGCAAUUCAAUGCUGAAGCCCCAAGAUUUAUAAGGGAUGUAAUUUGGUCUUUAUGAGUAGGAUUUUGAGUCAUGUUGUCUCAUAGUUUUUGUUUAUGUUUUGAUACAAUUCUCUGAUUGGGGUGCAUUCACAUAGUUCAGACAGUUCUUAGUUCAG